ACAUAAUUCCAUUCAAAAUAUUCUCAAACAGAAUACACGCUGAUUUGCAAUGGAAUAGCAAUUGUGAGGUCAUAAUCUGUCCAUGCAAAGUGAUCAUAAACAAUACCGAUUCUAAUACUCUUUUAACUUAACCACAUCAGACUAUUCUUAUGCGGAAAAGCCGCAUAACGUCUAGUAUAGUUUUGCGGUAGCUUUAUGGAGUGGAGUUGAUGCGUAUCAAGAUUGUAGAAAAUGCAAUGCACCAUCUUUAACCCAUAGAAGGCGACAAAAUAGAAGGCCAAAACAUGUGGAUAUUUAACCCAACCAAGUGGCUCAAGAACUGCACCAUCUUCAGGAGCUAACUGUUGAAUCCUGCAUUUCUCAGCUCCCAAGUCGACGUUGGACAGCGCCUUCCUCCACUCGCCUGUCUCUGCCUUCAUCUCCCAAACCUCCCACGACAAAUCCCCACACGCAACCAGGAGCGACACACACCUCCCAGUCGACAGAUAAUAAUAGUCGCAUUCAUGGUACUCAUAAGGGGCUUCACUCAGUGUAAUGAUCUCCGUCUCCACAUCCAUCGUCGCACAGUAUCUCCCCCUUCCCCAGUGCAGGAAACCUUCACUAGUCACGGGACCCACGUUGAAGAAAAAUGGCACAUGGUCGGGGAGGUGGUGAACCUCGACUUGCCUCCAGGAUUCAUCGACUCCAACAGUGAGCACGCUGAGACCGAGGUCCUUUCGUGCGUGUGGUUCAUAGUGGCGAACAAAGGUUGGUCCAAUCACUUUAUACACCAAGGAAGCUGCAGAGUAUGCAAAACUAUACUUGAGGUCAUAGCCUCCGCGUGUAGGCAAUGGUGGGAGGAGGAAUGACUGCUUUGUUGCAGGAUUUACAAGACAAGGGAGGCGGUGACCUUUGGCAUCCAUCAGCCGAACCAUCUCCAGAACCAAACCGUUGCAGGUAGCAAGAACUCCCAAAUUUGGAUAAUGUGAUUUAGCUCAGAUGUGUGGAUUCCACCGUCUGCGUCGGCUGUUACAUAAAGUGGCAGAGUAUUAUGAUAUAGGGGUGAUAGGAGGAGUCCAUAGGUAGCACAGUGCAUCGGCGCGUUGAUGAAGGCGUGAGAAUGGAUAAUUCUCAAUUAUAACAUGACCUUAUUUAGAUUAUUUUUCAUCAUAGAUGUAUUAAUAUUUAUUGUAUUUAUAUUAAAUUGUUAUGUACAAAAUAUUUAUAAUUGAUUGAUUAAUUUUUAUAAAAAUUAAGUUAGAUGAUUAAUUAUUUCAUAAUAUAUAUGUAUAUAUAUAUAUGUAUGUAUUUUUAAGCCAUCAAUAUAAUAUCUUGUUUUAUAUAUAUAUAUAUACACACUAUUUUCAAGACACAAAUGCAUAUAUAAAUUUGAUUUUUAAUGUUCUAUUAAUAUAUUAUAUAUAUAAUAAGUAUUUAUUUAUUUAAAUUAUGAAAUUAUAAAAUAUUAGGACCAAUAAAAAAAAUUAGCGUACAUAUAUAAUAGAAACUAUGUUAAAAAAGUAAAUAAUAUUAUAUAUUAUUUACAUAUAGAUAUAUAUUUAUCAAAUAUAUAUGUAUUUAUAUAUAGUAUAUUGUGAGAUGAAAAGAAAAUUAAAAAUAUUUAAUGUAUUAAACUUGAUAUUAUUGUACUAAAUUAAUUAUAAGGUCAUGUUAUAAUUGAGAAUAAAUUGAAACUUGAUGUAUUUUCUGGCCAGACUAUAAAUUCAUGUUAUAAUUGCAAUUAAAUUGAAAAUUGAUGUAUUUUCUGGCCAAAUUAUAAGGUCAUGAUAUAAACCAGAAAAUUGACAAAGUAUAUGUAUUUUUUGGCAAUAACCCCAACAAAUUAACCCUAAUUACUAUCAUUUGUAGCCUCGUAGACUUGAGGAUUUAGGACACAUGCCAAAAACAAAGAUAAUAUACAACUCGAUAUUGCAAAGAUAAUUUGUCUUAAAAGUUAACAAUGAAGCACAAUUCAAUUUGUAAGAUUCUUCUCCUUUAAUAUUAGGUUGACGAUUCAACUCAUCGUGACAGAUAAAUGUAGAAUCAUUGUUGAUCUAGUUUAAUUCACAUUUGUGAAGAUAAAUAUUCAUUCAGAAAAGUUUGUGUCACGAGCUUGGACUUAACAAUCUUCAAAUAAGUGAGAAUUAAUUUUUAAAUACCAAAUCAUAAAAUUAAUAAGUUAUAUAGCCUCUUUAUUAAAAGAGAAAUAUUUUUUUAAAAUGCUGAAAAACCAAGAGAAAUUCCCUUUAAAUUGCCCCAAAAAAUUAACUCAAGCUAUCAAAUAAACAACAAAUAUAAAUACCAAAGUCUGGACUAUAAUUUAAGAAGAAUGUUAUAAAUAACAAUGUUUCUGCAUGAUAUAAUAUAUAAACUCUUUUAACUUAAACCCAAUAUAAACAAUAAUAACGAUGCUAAUACUCUUUUAACUGAGCCAUAUCAGAUUAUUCUUAUGCGGAAAAGCUUGAUAACCACUAGUAUAGGAUUCCGGAAGCUCUAUAGAGUCAAGUUGAUGCGUAUCAAGAUUGUAGAAAAUGCAAUGCCGCCGUUGCUUCCCAUAAAAAUUGGCGCCAAAAUAGAAGGCCAAAACAUGUGGAUAUUUAACCCAACCAAGUGGCUUAAGAACUCGAGGAGCAUCUUCAGGAGCAAACCUUUGAAUCCUGCAUUUCUGAGCUCUCAAGUCGACGUUGGGCAGCGCCUUCCUCCACUCGCCCGUCUCUGCCUUCAUCUCCCAAACCUCCCACAACAGAUCCCCACACGCUACCAGGAGCGACACACACCUCCCAGUCGACAGAUAAUAAUAGUCGCGAUCAUGGUGCUCGUAAGGGGCUUUACUCAGUGUAAUGAUCUCCGUCUCCACAUCCAUCGUAAGGCAGUAUCUCCACCAUCCCCAGUGCACGAAACCUUCACUAGUCAAGGGAGUCUGCUGGAGGAGACUUCGCCUGAGAAAUUCGGGUAAGUGGUGAACCUCGACGUGCCUCCAGGAUUCAUCGAAUCCAACAGUGAGCACGUCGAGAUGGAAGUCCUCUCGUGCGUGUGGUUCAUAGCGGCGAACAAAGGCUGGUCGAAUCACUUUAUAAGCCAAGGAAGCUGCAGAGUAUGCAAAACCAAACAGGAGCAGGCCACAGGCAACAAAGCCUGUAGGCAAUGGUGGGAGGUGGAAUGACUGCUUCGUUGCAGGAUUCACAAUCACAAGACGAGGGAAGUUACCUUCCAACUCCAGACCGUUGCAGGUAGCAAGAACUGUUAGUCAAAAGUGGCUGCCACCAACCUUCUUCACCAACCACCUCACACCAACCACCUCACACCAACCACCUCUCACCUACCACCUCCAAAUCUUCCUAUAAAUAGAGAGCUCUUCUGCAGCAUCCUAUACAACAACACCAAACAACCAUCAAAGCUUUCUGCUAGAGAGAGAUAGAGAAAGAGAGAGAGAGAAAAAUCUUGUGAGAGAAAACUUCAGUGUGGAAGUUAUACACGAGUGAUAAAAGUGAGUUGAGAGAUAGCCUCUGCGUAGGCAGAUACAAAAUACAGUGUGGUAAUUUUGUUGUACUCCUCCUUUUGAGAUUCUCUAAUAUAUUGGUGUGGGUCCGUGGACGUAGGCAGUUUGGCCGAACCACGUUAAAAAUAUCGGUGUCAUUUUUUCUUCUCGUUUCAUAUCGGUCGAUAUCCACAAUAUUGAGUCACACUUGAUCCCGGGCGGAAUUAGUUGCGUCUAAUUUCCCAACAACUGGUAUCAGAGCCACGUUGGUGGCGAAAUUUUUUUUUCUUGCGCUGGUACUAAUUUUGCGAACAGUGUUUCGUGCGCAACGGUAAUUAUUCUUUUAAAAUUCUUAGUAUGCUCUGUGGUUGCAGUGUAAACUGAACCUCCACAUCAGAAACGAAUUUUUUGAGAAAAUUAUCGUGUUUUUUGAUCGAGUGGGAGCAAUGUCGACAGACGAUAAAAUUUCCAAAAUGGAGAAAUUCAAUGGUGUGAAUUUUGGAUUUUGGAAAAUGCAAAUGGAGGAUUACUUGUACCAGAAGGACCUGUAUAAGCCCUUGAAGGAAAAGCCAGUGGAUAUGAAGGACGACGAGUGGGAGGUGCUUGAUCGAAAAGCACUCGGCGCAAUCAGACUGACCUUAUCAAAGUCAGUCGCCUUCAACAUAAAGCAUGAGAAGACAACAGCGUCUCUCAUGAAAGCUUUAUCCAGCAUGUACGAGCAGCCGUCUGCAGCAAAUAAAGUUCAUUUGAUCAAGAAAUUGUUCAAUAUGAAAAUGACGGAGAGCGGAAGAUUUGGAGAACAUUUGAACGAGUUCAACGAAGUGACGGACCAACUUACCACGGUGGACAUCAAAUUCGAUGAUGAGGUCCGGGCUUUGUUAAUUGUUGGGCAGUUACCUGAGAGCUGGAAUGGCACAGUUACGGCCAUUAGCAGCUCUGCCGGUAAGUCCAAAAUGAAGUUCGAUGAUGUCGUGAGCAUGAUCUUAACCGAGGAGAUCCGGAGGCAGUCAGAUGUAGUCUCCACUUCAGGUGCCGCUUUAAAUGCAGAAAGCAGAGGCAGAAACUCAAACAGAAGUCAAGGGCGUGGACGGAGCAAGUCAAGGAAUGGCAGGCAGAGCUCCAGGAUCCACAAGAAUUCCAACAAAUCAAAGUCUAGUUGAAUGUUGGAACUGUGGUCAGGUCGGACACUACAGAACGCAGUGUAAAGUACCUUCAAAGGGAAACGAGACAAAGACCGAAGCCAAUGUUGUGGCUGAAGAAGAAGGCGAUGCCUUGAUAUGUUCCAUGGAGAAAAGGGCCGAGUAUUGGGUCAUAGACUCUGGAGCAUCUUUCCAUGCCACCUCGAAUCGAAAUUCCUUCAUAAAUUACAUGUCGGGAAAUUUCGGAGAAGUAUAUCUCGGAGAUGAUCACCCAUGCAGCGUGGUGGGCAUAGGAGAAGUACAGAUCAAACUCAAUGGAUCUGUAUGGAAAUUGAAGGACGUGAGACACAUUCCAGAGUUGAGGAAGAACUUGAUCUCCGUCAAGCAAUUGUCAAGAGAAGGAUGUGAUACACACUUCUCAGGUGAUUAUUGGAAAAUCACUAAGGGCGCAAUGAUUCUUGCAUGUGGCAAGGAUACUGGAAGCCUAUACACAACGAUGAAUGCGUGUGUGACAAUUGCAGUUGCUGAUAGCAAGAAGAAUGCAAAUUUGUGGCACCAAAGACUUGGGCACAUGAGCCAGAAAGGGCUCAAGUAUAUGCAUUCGAAAGGGAAACUACCAGAGCUUCAGUCUGUUGAUAUAGACUUUUGCGAAAGUUGUAUCUACGGGAAGCAGAAGAGGGUGAGUUUCAAUACCAGUGGUAGAACUCCGAAGCAAGUAAAGCUUGAGUUAGUCCACACAGAUGUUUGGGGCCCAGCAGCAGUUUCAUCCAAUGGCGGAAAGUCUUACUUUGUGACUUUCAUCGAUGACCACUCGAGAAGGUGUGGGUUUACUUCUUGAGACACAAGUCAGAGGUGUUCGAGGCGUUCAAGAAGUGGAAGGCCAUGGUGGAAAUGAAACUGGCUUACGGAUAAAGAGUUGAGAUCCGAUAAUGGUGGAGAAUACGAAGAUAUGGCGUUUCAAGUAAUUUUGUUACCAGGAUGGCAUCAAGUUAGAAAGGACGUUGCCAGGGACACCACAACAAAAUGGAGUUGCAGAACGCAUGAACCGGACGUUGACAGAAAGAGCUAGGAGCAUGAGGAUACAUGCAGGACUGCCNAUUAAUUAUAAGGUCAUGUUAUAAUUGAGAAUAAAUUGAAACUUGAUGUAUUUCUGGCCAGACUAUAAAUUCAUGUUAUAAUUGCAAUUAAAUUGAAAAUUGAUGUAUUUCUGGCCAAAUUAUAAGGUCAUGAUAUAAACCAGAAAAUUGACAAAGUAUAUGUAUUUUUUGGCAAUAACCCCAACAAAUUAACCCUAAUUACUAUCAUUUGUAGCCUCGUAGACUUGAGGAUUUAGGACACAUGCCAAAAACAAAGAUAAUAUACAACUCGAUAUUGCAAAGAUAAUUUGUCUUAAAAGUUAACAAUGAAGCACAAUUCAAUUUGUAAGAUUCUUCUCCUUUAAUAUUAGGUUGACGAUUCAACUCAUCGUGACAGAUAAAUGUAGAAUCAUUGUUGAUCUAGUUUAAUUCACAUUUGUGAAGAUAAAUAUUCAUUCAGAAAAGUUUGUGUCACGAGCUUGGACUUAACAAUCUUCAAAUAAGUGAGAAUUAAUUUUUAAAUACCAAAUCAUAAAAUUAAUAAGUUAUAUAGCCUCUUUAUUAAAAGAGAAAUAUUUUUUUAAAAUGCUGAAAAACCAAGAGAAAUUCCCUUUAAAUUGCCCCAAAAAAUUAACUCAAGCUAUCAAAUAAACAACAAAUAUAAAUACCAAAGUCUGGACUAUAAUUUAAGAAGAAUGUUAUAAAUAACAAUGUUUCUGCAUGAUAUAAUAUAUAAACUCUUUUAACUUAAACCCAAUAUAAACAAUAAUAACGAUGCUAAUACUCUUUUAACUGAGCCAUAUCAGAUUAUUCUUAUGCGGAAAAGCUUGAUAACCACUAGUAUAGGAUUCCGGAAGCUCUAUAGAGUCAAGUUGAUGCGUAUCAAGAUUGUAGAAAAUGCAAUGCCGCCGUUGCUUCCCAUAAAAAUUGGCGCCAAAAUAGAAGGCCAAAACAUGUGGAUAUUUAACCCAACCAAGUGGCUUAAGAACUCGAGGAGCAUCUUCAGGAGCAAACCUUUGAAUCCUGCAUUUCUGAGCUCUCAAGUCGACGUUGGGCAGCGCCUUCCUCCACUCGCCCGUCUCUGCCUUCAUCUCCCAAACCUCCCACAACAGAUCCCUACACGCUACCAGCACACACCUCCCAGUCGACAGAUAAUAAUAGUCGCGAUCAUGGUGCUCGUAAGGGGCUUUACUCAGUGUAAUGAUCUCCGUCUCCACAUCCAUCGUAAGGCAGUAUCUCCACCAUCCCCAGUGCACGAAACCUUCACUAGUCAAGGGAGUCUGCUGGAGGAGACUUCGCCUGAGAAAUUCGGGUAAGUGGUGAACCUCGACGUGCCUCCAGGAUUCAUCGAAUCCAACAGUGAGCACGUCGAGAUGGAAGUCCUCUCGUGCGUGUGGUUCAUAGCGGCGAACAAAGGCUGGUCGAAUCACUUUAUAAGCCAAGGAAGCUGCAGAGUAUGCAAAACCAAACAGGAGCAGGCCACAGGCAACAAAGCCUGUAGGCAAUGGUGGGAGGUGGAAUGACUGCUUCGUUGCAGGAUUCACAAUCACAAGACGAGGGAAGUUACCUUCCAACUCCAGACCGUUGCAGGUAGCAAGAACUGUUAGUCAAAAGUGGCAGCUUCUUUAUGGCUGCCACCAACCACCUCUCACCAACCACCUCUCACCAACCACAUCUCACCUACCACCUCCAAUUCCUUCACUAUAAAUAAUCCCCUCCGCAGCACUUGCCAAAUACACCAAACAACCAUCAAAGCUUUCUGCUAGAGAGAGAUAGAGAAAGAGAGAGAGAGAAAAAUCUUGUGAGAGAAAACUUCAGUGUGGAAGUUAUACACGAGUGAUAAAAGUGAGUUGAGAGAUAGCCUCUGCGUAGGCAGAUACAAAAUACAGUGUGGUAAUUUUGUUGUACUCCUCCUUUUGAGAUUCUCUAAUAUAUUGGUGUGGGUCCGUGGACGUAGGCAGUUUGGCCGAACCACGUUAAAAAUAUCGGUGUCAUUUAUUUUUCUCGUUUCAUAUCGGUCGAUAUCCAAAAUAUUGCGUCACACUAGAUCCCGGGCGGAAUUAGUUGCGUCUAAUUUCCCAACAACUGGUAUCAGAGCCACGUUGGUGGCGAAAUUUUUUUUUCUUGCGCAGGUACUAUUAAUCGAGAAUUUGGACAAUCAUUUUUUGGUAGGAUUCAAAUGGGUUUUUCUUGAAUCUCGUAUAACUUCUUAAUCGAGAAAUUCAAAUGCAUACCUGAUUCGUGAACGGUAUUGCUCGUAGGCCAUGAAAUGUAAUGCUGCAUAGGGUACAAUCCGAAGUACACUUGCUCCAUUCCCUCUGGAUCACAGAAAAAAUAGAAAAAUAACGAAGAAGAAUAAGCCAACCGGGCAAUCUGGGUGAUGAUAAAUAGAUAAUGACUCGAAAUGAAUGGUUUGAAGCUUACUUGUAAAAUCCUGCUACACCUUCAUGCUUCAGUAGCUUCUUUAACGAGGGGUAAACCCCUAGAGACUGAAAACCUUGCGUUCUAGUCUAGAACAGCAACGAGGAACAAAAUCAGAAACGCAUAAUAAUCCAAGCAACAUUUCCAAUUUGAAUCUGAAGCUAAAAUAGAUGUAGCUUCAUCUAAUAAUUCAAUAAACUCUAUCUAGAAAAACAGUCAAAUUAAACAGUAAGAGAUGUUGUACAUUAGAGCAUCCGCAUUGGGGGUUCCUUGAUAGCCUACUUGAUAGCCUACUUGAUAGUGGUUGUGUUAUUGAGUAGGUAGUGCUGCAUUGGGGUUCCUUGAUAGCCUACUUGAUUUUUUUAGUUUUUAAAGAGGAGAGAGAAAUUUUUAAAGAGGAGAAGAGAAUUAAAAAAAAAAAAAAAAAAAAAAAAGAAAAUCACUCGAGGAUACUCGAAAACUCGAGUAGCACUCGAGUAGCUCCUCCCUGCAUCGCCUACUCGAGUGCAAUACUCGAGUUCGAGUAAGGCAUCGAGGAUGCCGAUGCCAAUGCUCUUAGUCAAACCAAGUUCAAAAUUAUUGCCACAAUUCAAGUUAUAGCCGCACAACCGGGUUAUACCUUCACUUAAACUUUGACUCGCACCCUGAUUUGAACUCAUAUCAUGAUCCAACCCAUAUAAAUAAUAUUAUUCUGAAUACGGGUCAACCCGGUUGUACGGUACACCCAGGUGUACCCAAGAUUUUGUGAAAUAUAUAAAUUUUUCCAGAAAUAUAUAGUUCUUGGAUAGUCUCUUUCAGCACAACAAUGAGUCUCUCUUAUCUCCCACUUGUUUUUCAGUUAUGCUGCCAAUGAAAAUGAAAACCACUGUGAAUAGAAUUAAUAAGAAAUAAAAAGAAAAGUAGGAAAGGAAUCAAAUUUAAACCAAAUCUACUAAUUCCUAUUUACCUUAGUCGUCUUCCUCUCGGAGUUAGAACUAGCAAGCUCGGAGUUAGGACUAGCAAGCUCGGAGUGAGGACUAGCAAGUUCGAAGUUAGGACUAGCAAGCUCGGAGUGAGGACUAGCAAGCUCAAUACGAACUUGAAGGGCUCCUUCCCCAUAAUAGACCUCGUGUUCCUCUGAUAUUCUAUUAGCAGAUUCCACAACCGCUUAGCUACAACGGUUCACAUCAAUUUCUCUAAGUGUGGAUAUUUCUGCGAAAUCUAAAGGGAUCCCCACCAACUUACAUACUGCAACAAGAUGAAGGGACUCAAGGCAUGGAAAGUGGGAGCUUUGGAAAGUGGGACAUCAUCAACACCCACCAUGCUACUCUGAGGCGUAAUCGAAGAAGAUCUCUUCUGCAAAAUCGAAGAAGAUCUCAAGGAAUGAGGAGGAGUUGAGUUUCUGAGCAGCUGAUGUUGGACUCCAACUCUCCCUUGAAUUUGCUUGGCCUCCUCUUCGACAGAAGCCAUAUCUUGUAUCACCUUCUCGAGAGCUUUAUACAAGCCAUCAAAGCUCAUAUUUUCUCCAUCAUUUUUUACCUCAUCAAAAAUAUGAGAUACAAUGGCGCAUUCCUCAUCGAAAAUAUGAGAUUCAAUGGCGUAUUCGGCUGCAUAAGCUGCAUCUGCAAUGCGAAUCUCAAAGGGAUCCGCUUCAUUGGAGUAGACACGAUGAGGAUUAUAGGAUUGGAGAAAUUCUAGCAAGAAACUGAUUUUUUGAGUGAGAGACUCAACUUGUUUAAUAUGGAGAGGAAUAGGAGGGCAAGGAUGAAGUUGAAGGUUAUCAAUGAUAUGCAUAGCAGAAACUAGAGUUGCAUAAGCCGCCAUGGUUGAUUUGGAGUUGCAGACAGAAGCAGUAUGAAUGAAGAUGAGACUUAAUGAUUCUGAAUUCUCAAAGUCUGGCCACAUAUUGUUUCCAAUCUAUCUCAAUUAUUGAAAACUUUAAUUUCUCUUUUUACAGACUGGAAGAGAGCGACUGGACAUUCAAUUAUUAUAAUUUUGUCAACGUUUUUCUUUCCUUUUCAAAUUAUCGUUCAAUUUUGUAUAUAACUAUUUACAUUUAUUAUUUUAAUAUUUUUUAUACAAAUAUAUUUUAUUAUAAUAUUAUAAAUUAGUAUUUAAUUAUUUAUUAUAAUUUUUAAAUUUGUAUAUACCCUAAUUUUGAAUUUAUAAAUUAUUAAUCAAUAAAAAUAGUAUUUAUGUACUCUAACUGGAUGGAAUAAACUAAUAAAAUUAACCGGUACAUUUAUUUCAGAGAAAGUGUUUCUAUGUUACGUACCAUGCAUUUACUAUCUUGUAGUUUAAUCUUGCACUUUAGCGUCUUUUAUAUGAGUAAUGUUUUCCAACGAGAUUAAACUGUCAACAUAAAUAAAUAGAUUAAAAAAAGUAAUCGAAUAUCAAAUAGUAUUAAUUUAAUUUAAUUAUUUGGUGUGAAACUUAAUUAAUGUAAAAUCACAUCCAUGUAAAUAAAUAGAAAUUUGUGUUAUUUACUUAGAUUAUCCACAUUUCUUACUUUGGAACGGACUGGAGCAUGAGUUGCUGUAACACCCCAAUUUUCAUAAACCUUUCAAUAUAAAAUCUUUGAAAAACUAAUAGAUAAAAUAAAAUUCCUUGAAUUAUAAAAGUUUAAACCAAUUUAAAUUCAACUUGCCAAAACUAAAGUAGUAACAUGAAAAUAAAAUAAAACUUAAUAAGUUCAACUAAAAUGUUCAAUGUAAAAUCCUUAUCCCUAGUCAUUCUCCACUUCCAUGGCCACUUCGACUCUGAAACUGCAAAACUGAAAAGAUAAGGGGUGAGCAUAUUGAAAAAUAUACUCAUUGAGGAACAUAACAAAAUAUUCAUAUACGUCACAUAUAUAAUCAAAACACGUUAUCAUACUUGCAAACAUACGCCAAGAGACGGAGCCCCUUGACAAACAUAAUCAUAGUUUGAGUCGAUGGCUUAAGUCCCAUGACCAAACACAUACAUAAAUCAAUGGCUUAGGUCCCAUGAUCGAUCAAUGGCUUAGGUCCCAUGAUCACACAUAACAUAGAUCAAUGGCUUAGGUCCCAUGAUCGCACAUAACAUAGAUCAAUGGCUUAGGUCCCAUGAUCGCACAUAACAUAGAUCAAUGGCUUAGGUCCCAUGAUCGCACAUAACAACAUAGUCAUAAGAUGCACGUAAACAAGUAAUCAACGCGAUAAUAAAAACAUAUAUAACCAUAUGAAUAAGCGUAAAAUCCCUCACCUUAAAGUCGAAGCUAAAUAAAUCAAAUUCGGAAUGAGGAUCUUAAUUGCGCCGCACCUAAUCACAUAACAUGUCGAAUAAAACAUAAAGGUCUAAUUAAACUUUAUAAAUACAAUUACUAAAUUAAAAAGAAUUCUAUAUCAAGUCUUAUNNNNNNNNNNNNNNNNNNNNNNNNNNNNNNNNNNNNNNNNNNNNNNNNNNNNNNNNNNNNNNNNNNNNNNNNNNNNNNNNNNNNNNNNNNNNNNNNNNNNNNNNNNNNNNNNNNNNNNNNNNNNNNNNNNNNNNNNNNNNNNNNNNNNNNNNNNNNNNNNNNNNNNNNNNNNNNNNNNNNNNNNNNNNNNNNNNNNNNNNNNNNNNNNNNNNNNNNNNNNNNNNNNNNNNNNNNNNNNNNNNNNNNNNNNNNNNNNNNNNNNNNNNNNNNNNNNNNNNNNNNNNNNNNNNNNNNNNNNNNNNNNNNNNNNNNNNNNNNNNNNNNNNNNNNNNNNNNNNNNNNNNNNNNNNNNNNNNNNNNNNNNNNNNNNNNNNNNNNNNNNNNNNNNNNNNNNAAAGGGUGCUUUGUACACAAUGAAACAUGAAGAAAGACAAUAAAAAUCCCAACGUUUACAGCCCUACAAAUAUGAAUUCAUUAUACAAAUAUACCAAUACUAUGUUCAACAUGGUAUCAGAGCAGGUUUAAUCCUUAGGAACUCAAGAAAGAAAAAGAAAAAAAAAUCCUCAUUAUUCCAUUACCUUUCCUCAACCUUUCUCAACCCAAAUCAAGGCAGCCAACUGACGUGUUUUUCCCUUCUCCUUCCUGCAAAAAUUAGGUCAAAAAUGUAAGGAGAAAUGCAAAUCACAGAACCAAAAAACAGAUACAAACGAGCUAACCCAACAAAUUGCCAAUUUGAUGUGAAACUCCGAAAACGUCAUGCUCGGAUUCAAAUUAGAUGGCAACAAUUAUCCCCUAUGGGCCCGCCUCAUGAAGGUAGCCAUAGGCAGCAGAGGCAGGUCCGGACACAUCACCGGACAACCACCACGGUAAAACGCAUAGUCAACAUGAUCAUAUAAGUUAUUGCAACAUUUGGAUACCAAUCUGUAAUAUUUGCAAAUUCAAGAAUUUCAAUAGAUGCAUAUGACAUUAUUUUAUUUGGCAAUGGCAUUUGUAAUAGUAUGUUUUAUUCAGUAAAUAAAUCAACUAAGUCAACAUCAAAUAUAUUAUCAUAAGUAAAAAUAGAUUUCAAAUUAAUACAACAAUGUCUUAAUAUUUUUCACUAUCCAUAGAUUUUAAAGUUUUCAAACCAAACAAAAAAUCAAAUAUAUGAUCAAAUGAUUUCAUUUUUUCAAAUGUACAUUUUAAAUAAGCAAUUGCAUGUCCAAAACAACUACAAAAUACUCAAAUUCUAAAUAACUCUUCGAGUGAUAAUGAAACUUCAGCACUUUGUCCCUCAUCAAAUUAUUUUUCUCUAGUAAUACGAUGUUUUGUUGAAAAUAUUGGCUUUAUAUUCAUAUUAGAUACAACACUCUUAACAAUAGUCAAACAUGUAUCAAAACCUCCAUUCCUAUACUUUUCAAGAAAAUUUUAGCCCGAAAAAUAAAAAAAUCGAUUAGCCCUAAUCGAAAGUAACUCGAAACCGAAUGGGUUGACCCGAAACCGAGUGGGUUGGCCCGAUUGACAUCCCUACUUAAGAGCUCCAUCAGCAAACUAUUGAAUCCUGCAUUUCUCAGCUCCCAAAUCGACGUUGGGCAGCGCCUUCCUCCACUCGCCCGUCUCUGCCUUCAUCUCCCGAACCUCCCACGACAUAUCCCCACACAAAAUCAGGAGCGACACAAUUUAUUACGCAAAUUAUUCUCAAUUUUACAUUAACCUACUUCGCCUGAAGAUGCUAAUCAAUCCAGAAAACUUAUACAAAUACAAUUUUAACUAAAUCAAAAUAGAUGAAAGAAAUGCUACUAUAAAACAAAUUUAACAUUAUUAUUAUGCAUUGUUAGGGGCUUCCUUAUAGGGAAACACCCUUCCAAAAAAUGGCGUAUGCCGCUUAAGUUGCGACAAGCACACGGUAUUCUUUAGUAAAAGGCGAAAGAAUAGCUCGCUAUGUGCUCAACACGCGGCUGCGUGGUUUAACAAGUGUAGUCGGCCAUUGUUUUAUAGUAGCACAUAGUUAGACCGUAUCUCUCUGAUUGUCAAUGUGGGAUAUUUAGCUUUUUUACUUGAAACCAAAUCACAACCGGCGGUUUUCAUCCAUAAAUGCGAUGAAACUAACCAACUGCAAUUUUCUUCAUCUAGCAAGAAGCUUCAACAGCUCAUGCAUCAUCGCCAUCAUUCUUGUUGCAUCUCAUAUCGGUUUCGCCAUUGAAGAGCUUCAACAUACUCUCUCUCUCUCUCCCUCUCAUCUUCUCCAUUUAAUCACUUCAAACCAAAUAAUCAAGGGCCUUCAUUAUCCACCAUUUUAACUUUUUGCAAAGUAAACAUCGGAUAUAGUUAGAUAACUUUUGUAAUACACCCUUAUACACCAUAGCAAACAAGGCCCAAAAAGAGUUGCAGAAUCAUAUUUGAAAAUUUACAGGUUGCCAAAUAAGAGGGAAAAGUAGUAUACUCGAAAACAGUCCAUUUCCAACCAUAGAACCUGUUAAGCAGAUUUGUUAUAAUAAAAAGGGUUAAAGUACAGAUCAGCCCCUAAAGUGGACACCCCUAGAGCGUUGGGCUCCCCAUACUCGACUCAGGCUCAAAUAACUCCCCAAAGCCUAUAAAAAUACUACACUUAAGCCCACAGUAAAACGACCCUUUCAUUCCGUUUCUUUUUUUUUUCGCGUGGGGAGCCAAUGACAAAUGCAUAUAAUAUCAACACACAAACACACAGAAGAGCUUAUCAGGAGCUUCUUUAGUCAAAUAUCUGAAUUUUUCCGGCAUGCUGCUUUCUCCACGAAUUAAUCUCUGUCUCUUCAUUCCUACUGUUAUCAACUGAGCCGCUUUCAUUUUGGGCUUUUACCGAAAACCCAUUAAAGGAUUUCUUGAAUGAACCGUAAAAGCUGUGGGAAAUUUGGAGUUUGUUCAAAGGUUUCGCCUUUUUGGUUAGCAGUGAGGAUGUUAUCGGAAAUGAGCUGUUGCUGUGGUGAAAUCGAGGGGGAUUUUUAGGUGGGGAGAGUUUGUAGUGUAAAAUAAAUACUCUCUCCGUCCACGAUAUAGUUUCCAUAUUGUGGACGACACAUAUUUUAAGAAAAAUGAUGAAUAAUACUCCCUCCAUCCACGAUAAGUAUGGUAUAGAGGAGAGGGCACGAGUUCUAAGAAAAUAUUGGGAGAUAUGUAUAAAGGGCACGAGUUCUAAAAAAAUAUUGGGAGAUAUGUAUAAAGUGAAUAAAGGAAUCCACUAAAAUUGAUUUUUUUAGGUAUUAAUAAAUGGUGAUCAAUCCAAAAAACUUAAACAAAUACAAUUUUACCUAAAUCAAAAUAGAUGAAAGAAAUGCUACUAUAAAACAAAUUUAACAUUAUUAUGCAUUGUUGGGGGCUUCCUUAUAGGGAAACACCCCUCCAAAAAAUGGCGUAUGCCGCUUAAGUUGCGACGAGCACACGGUAUUCUUUAGUAAAAGGCGAAAGAAUAGUUCGCUAUGUGCUCAACGCGCAGCUGCAUGGUUUCACAAGUGUAGUCGGCCAUUCUUUUAUAGUAGCACAUAGUUAGACCGUUUCUCUCUGAUUGUCGAUGUGGGAUAUUUAGCUUUUUUACUUGAAACCAAAUCACAACCGGCGGUUUUCAUCCAUAAAUGCGAUGAAACUAACCAACUGCAGUUUUCUUCAUCUAGCAAGAAGCUUCAACAGCUCAUGCAUCAUCGCCAUCAUUCUUGUUGCAUCUCAUAUCGGUUUCGCCAUUGAAGAGCUUCAACAUACUCUCUCUCUCUCUCCCUCUCAUCUUCUUCCUCUCUCUCUCUGGAGCCUCAGCAUUCUACAACAUAUAUAUCUCACAACCGCUUCUCUUCUCUUCUCUUCGCCUCUCUAUCCUCUGCCUUCAUCUCCCAAACCUUCCACGACAGAUCCCCACACGCAACCAGGAGGCGACACACGCCUCCCAGUCGACACAUAUUUAUAGUCGCGUUCAUUGUACUGAUAAGGGGCUUCACUAAGUGUAAUGAUCUCCGUCUCCACAUCCAUCGUUGCGCAGUACCUCCCCCUUCCCCAGUGCAAGAAACCUUCACUAGUCAAGGGAGCCUUAUCGAAGAAGAAUGGCCUUACAUGGUGGGGUAGGUGGUGAACCGCGUACGUGCCUCCAGGACUCAUCGACUCCAACAGUGAGCACGUCAAGACCGAGGUCAAUUUGUAGGCGUGGUGGCUAAUGUAUAUCAUUUGCAGGGCUGUAAACGAACAGAACUACUCGGAGUAACUACUCUCAUUGAUUUACAUAAAGUGGCAUAGCUUUAAGCUUUAUGGUUGAUAGGAGUCGGAGUUGCAGGGAUAUUGAAUCAAUAGAAAGAGAAUAAUUAUUUAUUCUAGUCGAUGAUCGAAUUUUAAUCCUAAAUCCAUUAAAAUUCUACUUACACAUAAAAAUGAAUUGUAUAGACUGCCCGAAAAAUUUGGCUCGGGGGCUACCGCCCCAAACCCCCAUUCAAUACCUUCAAGUUCAGCCACCCUAUCAACAAAUCUUGGAUCCGCCCCUGGGUACAGAAAUGGUUUGGGUGGGAAGGGUGGUGGGGAGUACCGUUCUUUUUUUUUAAUUAUAUUUUUUAAUUUAUUUUUAUUAUAAUUUCAUUAAGGAUAUAAUAGUCAUUUUACUCAAAAAUUGAUUAGAUUUAAUAUUUUUUUAUUUUCAUGGUUAAUAUUAACAUUUUGUUAAUUAAAAUGGUUAUUUCCAAGUAUUAACAUUGUUAUUAAUGUAUUUUAAUUUCUGUAUUAUAUUUUACUUCAAUAAAAUUAAUAUAAUAACAUGAAUCAAAUUAAUUUUUUUAAAUAAUAAAAUAUAAUUUAAAAUUUAAACGUGCAUAUAUUGAAAAGCAAAUUGAUACAACACACAACUAAAAAUAAAAAUACAUACAAUUUGGGAAACAAAAAAUAAAAACGCAAAAAAAAAGGAAUUGGAAGAAAAUUAAAAAUAAAAAUUCUUACAUUAAAUUUUUUAAAAAAAACUUGCAAAAUAAGGCAAAAAAAACAAAAAACAAAAAAAAAAAGAAAGAAGACGAAAAAACAAAAAAGAAUAAGAAACGAUCGAAAAGAACAAAGGAUGGAAAAUGGAAGAAUUGAAGAAAUUUUCAAAAAAAAUAAAAAAUAAAUAAAUAACUUUAAAGUUGUAGGUAGCGGGGUCCACGUUUGGACUACUACCCCAAAAGAUAUCUCCCACUAGUUGAAAAUAUAAAAAUAAAUUGCAUAUAUGUGCACAUAUACAUAAAGACAUAUGUACAUCAUUUUAAACAACACUACAAAAUUGCAUAAUGAAUAUACCCAAUUGUGGUUCUACCUUAAAAUCUGUAUAUAAUAAAACUUAUUUUCUAAUGUCACGUUUAUUUUUUCACUAAUCACACAAUUUUCAAUAAAUCUAUCAAUAUAAAAUUUGUAAUUAUUUAUAAAAAUUAAAUUAUAAAAAGACAAAAAAAAUUGCACGUGUGUAUUAAUACAAAUAUUCAAUACUAAAUUCAAAAAAAAAAAAAAGUAGCUAUUUUUAAAUUCACAUUAAGAAAAUAACACGUACUAAUAUACAAUAUGCAUCCGGGGAAAUUUCGAUGUUGAAAAGAAUUGUUGUAUACUCCCUCCGUCCACCAAAAAUAUGCCACAAUUUCCUUUUUCGUCCGUCCACAAAAAAUAUGCCACUUCCAUUUUUAGUAGUAGGGUCCACACAACUCCACUCACAUUUAAAGUGGGACCCUUACUCCACUACCAACUUUACUCACAUUUUCUUAAAACCCGUGCCGAAAGCAAAGUGGCAUGUUUUUCGUGGACGGAGGGAGUAAAUGGGUUGGGCACAUUGGGCCGAGGAGGAGUGGGUUGGGUUGCUGGAAAAUAGUUCAUCCUUCAAAUCCAGUAGAAUUAAUUAUUGUUGUAAAAAUAUGUCCAAGGUUUCUUCUUGAAUUAAUCAUUUCUUUUUCUGAGCAAAUGGGACCAAGUUGAUCAUCAGUAAUCAACUAAUCAUAGUAUAUUCACCGAUGCAUGAACUGGAAAAUGAAAAUCAGCAUCAAUCACGUAGCAAAUUGUAAAGGGCUUCCUUUAUAAAUUACUACUCUCUCCGUCAGUGGCGGAGCCAGGAAUUAAUUUGGGAGGGGCUGANUAAUACUACGUGACAGUGGCGGAGCCAGGAAUUAAGUGGGACCAUUUCUCCACUCAACUAAUAAAAAUACAUUUUUUUCUUAAAACCCGUGUUAUUUCAUAUAGGCCUUUAAUUGGUGGACGGAGGGAAUAAUAAAGAACAACAUUUUCAUAGAUUAUAUAAUUUAAAUAUAUAACAAAUUAGUUUCAAUACAUUACAAAUUUUUUUGAGACAUUCUAUAUUUUUAAAGCAUUUUUUAUUAAAAGACGAGCAUAAUAGUAAUUAUAAAGAACAACAUUUUCAUAUACUAUAUAGUUUUAAUAGAUUACAAAUUAAUUUCAAUACAUUACAAACUUUUUUUUUGUCAUUUCGUACAUUUUAGGCAUUUUUUAUUAAUAGACAAGCAUAAUAACAAUAAUAACGAACAAUAUUUUCAUAACUAGUAUAUUUUCAAUAAAUUACAAGCUUGAAUCAAUAAUAAUAAAAGACAAGCAUAGUAAUAAUAGCAAACAAAUUUUUUUUGGGCAUUCCAUCCAUUUUAGGCAUUUUCUAUUAAAAGGCAAGCAUAAUAGUGAUAAUAAUGUAUAGUAUAUUUAUAGAUUAUAUAGUUUUAAAUAACACAAUUAUCCUUAAAUUAAUUAUAAAUGAAAGAAUUUAACAAGCUAAUCAACUUUUGUAAAACAAAUUUCUUUUAUAAUAUAAACAUAUAUCUAUAUAUUUUAAAUAAAUAAAUAAACUCAAAAUUUGGGAGGGGGCUUCAGCCUCCCCCCCCCCCCCCCCCGCCCCCGGCUACGCCCCUGCUCUCCGUCCCAUUUGUAUUGGCCCCUUACUUUUGGGCACGGAGAUUAAGAAAGUCUUUAUUUAUGAGUUAAGUAGGUGAAGUGUUUUACUUUUGUCCACUUAGGAGCCCUUAUUUUUGCUAUUUUAAAAAAGGGGCCAAUACAAUUGGGACAGCCCAAAAUGGCAAGGAAGCCAAUACAAAUGGGACGGAAGGAGUAUAACAGAAGGUCUUUUGGCAAAAUCUGAGCGCCUAUCGAUAGUGUUUGAAAAUUUGAGCGCCUAUCGUUGAAGUUCCAACAUUUCUCAUUUGUUUUUACACUUCUCAUUUGUUUUUACACAUUAUAACUUGAUUUAAAAUUAAGAAAACAUUCUAUAAAUUAAAAAGUGAUUAUUUUUUAUCAAAUAAAAUAACAUCUCGAGUUUGUGCAAGCAGUACAUAAUUUGCAGAGGAUUAGUUUCCCACACUCCCUCAAGAAGUUGAAGUUAUUUCUCAAUAAUGUGGAGUUGGAUGAGAUACUGAUUUUGCCUUACUUUUCAAGCUUGUAUUACAUAAUUCCAUUAAAAAUAUUCUCAAACAGAAUACAGGCUGAUUUGCAAUGGAAUAGCAAUUGUGAGGUCAUAAUCUGUCCAUGCAAAGUGAUGAUAAACAAUACCGAUUCUAAUACUCUUUUAACUUAACCACAUCAGACUAUUCUUAUGCGGAAAAGCCGCAUAAGCUUUAGUAUAGUUUUGCGGUAGCUUUAUGGAGUGGAGUUGAUGCGUAUCAAGAUUGUACAAAAUGCAAUGCACCAUCUUUAACCCAUAGAAGGCGACAAAAUAGAAGGCCAAAACAUGUGGAUAUUUAACCCAACCAAGUGGCUCAAGAACUGCACCAUCUUCAGGAGCUAACUGUUGAAUCCUGCAUUUCUCAGCUCCCAAGUCGACGUUGGGCAGCGCCUUCCUCCACUCGCCCGUCUCUGCCUUCAUCUCCCAAACCUCCCACGACAGAUCCCCACACGCAACCAGGAGCGACACACACCUCCCAGUCGACAGAUAUUUAUAGUCGCGUUCAUGGUACUCAUAAGGGGCUUCACUCAGUGUAAUGAUCUCCGUCUCCACAUCCAACGUCACGCAGUAUCUCCCCUUUCCCCAGUGCACGAAACCUUCACUAGUCAAGGGAACCUUGUCGAAGAAAAUUGGCCUGACAUGGUCGGGGUGGUGGUGAACCUCGACGUGCCUCCAGGACUCAUCGACUCCAACAGUGAACACGAAAAGAUCAUCGACUCCAACAGUGAACACGGAAAGAUCGUCGUCAAUUUGUCGGAGUGGUGCCGAGUGGAAAACAGCGGAUGGUGCAAUCACUUUAUAUGCCAAGGAAGCUGCAGGGCAUGCUAAACCACAGUGGAACUGGCAAUACAUGCGCCCUUUAGGAUACGGUGGGAGGAGGAAUGACUGCCUCGUUGCAGGAUUCGCAAGACGAGGGAAGCGUUUGUCGUCCAACUCCAGAACCAAACCGUUGCAGGUAGCAAGAACUCCCAAUUUGGAGAUGUGAUGUAGCUCACAUUUGUGGAUUCCACCGUUUGCAUCGGCUGUUACAUAAAGUGGCAGUGUAUUACCCUUUACGGGUGAUAGGAGUAGUCCAUAGGUAGCACCGUGCAUCUGCGCGUUGAUGAAGGCAUGAGAAUGGAUAAUGUGGUACCACCGCCGGCAC
Molecule: long non-coding RNA, 19964 nt
Filed under: Salvia miltiorrhiza (redroot sage)
Lineage: Eukaryota; Viridiplantae; Streptophyta; Magnoliopsida; Lamiales; Lamiaceae
Description: long non-coding RNA (SMIL_LNC008413)
Source: RNAcentral